Molecule: ribosomal RNA, 228 nt
Filed under: uncultured bacterium
Lineage: Bacteria
Description: partial 16S ribosomal RNA
Rfam family: Bacterial small subunit ribosomal RNA
Source: RNAcentral
GGGCAAUCUGCCCGAGAGCGGGGAAUAACCUUCCUAACGGAGGGCUAAUACCGCGUAGAAUCCGGAGCUCGCAUGGGCACCGGAUGAAAGAGGGGCUCUUCUAUCCUCUCACUCUCGGAUGAGCCCGCGCCCCAUUAGCUAGUUGGUGAGGUAACGGCUCACCAAGGCUUCGAUGGGUAGCCGGCCUGAGAGGGUGACCGGCCACACUGGGACUGAGAUACGGCCCAG